Molecule: ribosomal RNA, 403 nt
Filed under: uncultured bacterium
Lineage: Bacteria
Description: partial 16S ribosomal RNA
Rfam family: Bacterial small subunit ribosomal RNA
Source: RNAcentral
GACGAACGCUGGCGGCGUGCCUAAUACAUGCAAGUCGAACGCAGUGGGGACGGGUGAGUAACACGUGGGUAACCUCCCAUCAGAGGGGAUAACACUUGGAAACAGGUGCUAAACCGCUACUGAUGGAUGGACCCGCUGUGCAUUAGCUAGUUGGUGAGGUAACGGCGCACCAAGGCCACGAUGCCUACCCGAGCCGGGAGGGUGAUCGGACAAACUGGGAAUGAGAAACGGCCCAGACUCCUACGGGAGGCAGCAGUAGGGAAUCUUCGGCAAUGGACGAAAGUCUGACCGAGCAACGCCGCGGGAGUGAAGAAGGUUUUCGGAUCGUAAAGCUCUGUUGUUAGAGAAGCGGUAACUAACCAGAAAGGGACGGCUAACUACGUGCCAGCCGCCGCGGUAAUAC